CUGCAGAGAGUUAUCCCUCUCUGAGCUGCCGUGCUCUCUGAGGGAGUCGCUCUGCUAUAUGAACUCUCUGCCCAGAGCCUCGGCCCCUGGCCAGCAGUAGCUGG
Molecule: small nucleolar RNA, 104 nt
Filed under: Gambusia affinis (western mosquitofish)
Lineage: Eukaryota; Metazoa; Chordata; Actinopteri; Cyprinodontiformes; Poeciliidae
Description: Small nucleolar RNA SNORA56 (ENSGAFG00000011502.1)
Source: RNAcentral